CCUAAGAGACCGGUAGGUCAGGGCCGCCGUUGAGUGAUUGGAGCUUCCCUACUAGAAGGGAAAUCCAGAUAGAGGGACGGAUAGAGUUCUGUUGCAGUAGAGACUGAUUUGGCUACCUUGUUAGAAGGGGUUAUGCGGCCCGUGGGUGGG
Malania oleifera is the source of this 150-nucleotide long non-coding RNA. RefSeq lists it as uncharacterized. NCBI's taxonomy places the organism in Eukaryota, Viridiplantae, Streptophyta, Magnoliopsida, Santalales, Ximeniaceae. The record is from RefSeq and is a predicted model, not a curated record. The transcript has 3 exons.